Long non-coding RNA from Nicotiana attenuata, 224 nucleotides. RefSeq lists it as uncharacterized. The record is from RefSeq and is a predicted model, not a curated record. The transcript has 3 exons. Lineage: Eukaryota; Viridiplantae; Streptophyta; Magnoliopsida; Solanales; Solanaceae.
UCAAUGUAUUUAUAUAGUAUCUCUUUUACAUAAGCAUUAUCAUUGUCCUCUGUUCUUUUGUUAUAAAAAGAUUUCACAAAAAAAAGAAAUUGAAGUGAUCUAGAAAUGGCUUCCAAUGGAGACAACCAUGCUUCUGCAAAACCACCACCAGAACCAUCGCCGUUGCGAAAAGCAAAAUUUUUUCAGGCCAACAUGAGAAUUUUGGUGACUGGUGUGCUGGAUUU